This is a long non-coding RNA of Zea mays, 517 nucleotides long. RefSeq lists it as uncharacterized. The record is from RefSeq and is a predicted model, not a curated record. The transcript is spliced from 4 exons. Lineage: Eukaryota; Viridiplantae; Streptophyta; Magnoliopsida; Poales; Poaceae.
CGGGGGCUGGGGAGAGCGCGCGCAAGUGGAGGGAGAUGGCGGCCAGGAAGGAGGAACUCCUGCUGCGGAGCCGGGGUCGAGUCGCGUGGACGAUCAUCGCGCAUGCUGCGGCUCGCAUGCGUCCCACAUCCUGCACUCGCUCGGUAUUCAUGUCGGCCACGGAACGUUUUUUGGAUCUGUUGCAUAAUCCUUAUGUGAAAUGUGGCAUUGCUACAACUGCUUUGUUUGGGCUUGGAAGAGGGAUUAACAGACUUGUCUUGAAGGGCAUCGAGCAAACUGGCUCAUCAGUUAUGUAAUGAAGUGAUGCAAGUCACGGAGGCUGACAUUGAAGAAUUUGAAGCUAAAUAUAGAGGGUCAGAUUCUGAGAAAACGGACUUGAAGGAACUCUACACAAAAUAUAAGGGCAACAUGAACAGGAAUAAUUAUCUCUUAUAUCAUAUUGUAAAAUCUGAAACAGUUCUCAUGUAGAUAGUUAGCUUGCAUUUUACGCUACAAUUACCUCAGAUCACUUCUUGUU